UCAUGGGUAUGAGUGAAUGUCAACAGCCACACUUACAAUCUAUCUCCAUCUGCAACACUCUGUGGUCCAUACAGUAAGCUGUUGAAGAGAGACUCAAACCCUCGGUCUGUUUCAUCUGAAACACACAAUAUGUCAACGCUAUCAGAUGUGUUCCAGUCUGGCAUGAUUAUUCCCCGCUUGCAGAUCAUGCUAAUCAAACAAGACUGUCAAGGGGGUUUCGCACUUGAUGGAAACAAUCGUGAUGGUAAUUCAGGAGGAGCUGCAGUGUCUGUGUGCGAGUGUGGUUUCAAAUGACAGCCAUUUUUUUCUUUAAC
Molecule: long non-coding RNA, 314 nt
Organism: Notolabrus celidotus (New Zealand spotty)
Lineage: Eukaryota; Metazoa; Chordata; Actinopteri; Labriformes; Labridae
Exons: 3
Source: RefSeq, a predicted model, not a curated record